Molecule: ribosomal RNA, 465 nt
Filed under: Vreelandella stevensii
Lineage: Bacteria; Pseudomonadati; Pseudomonadota; Gammaproteobacteria; Oceanospirillales; Halomonadaceae
Description: partial 16S ribosomal RNA
Rfam family: Bacterial small subunit ribosomal RNA
Source: RNAcentral
CCUACGGGUGGCUGCAGUGGGGAAUAUUGGACAAUGGGGGGAACCCUGAUCCAGCCAUGCCGCGUGUGUGAAGAAGGCCCUCGGGUUGUAAAGCACUUUCAGUGAGGAAGAACGCCUGGUGGUUAAUACCCAUCAGGAAAGACAUCACUCACAGAAGAAGCACCGGCUAACUCCGUUCCAGCAGCCGCGGUAAUACGGAGGGUGCGAGCGUUAAUCGGAAUUACUGGGCGUAAAGCGCGCGUAGGUGGCUUGAUAAGCCGGUUGUGAAAGCCCCGGGCUCAACCUGGGAACGGCAUCCGGAACUGUCAAGCUAGAGUGCAGGAGAGGAAGGUAGAAUUCCCGGUGUAGCGGUGAAAUGCGUAGAGAUCGGGAGGAAUACCAGUGGCGAAGGCGGCCUUCUGGACUGACACUGACACUGAGGUGCGAAAGCGUGGGUAGCAAACAGGAUUAGAUACCCCAGUAGUC